UUUGUUCAUUUUAUUGAUAUAUUCUCUUCCUCGGACGAAUGAUAAAAAAAAUACAUUUUUUUAGUAACAAAAAUUACAUGAUAAUACGUGCGUUGCACGUGCCAGCUGACUAGUAGUCAGACCAGUGUGCCAGUUGUAAGAGCUGUAUUAUAUAUGAAACGGGGGAGUAGAGUAGUACGUGAACUGUACAAAUCUGGGUUCGAAUAGAAACUGGUGACAUCGGAGAAACAAAUGCAAUUUUGACCGCUGUUUCUUGUUGUAAUAUAUGUAUGUGUGAACCGUAAUUUUUCGAUCGAUGCUCGAGAGAUGUUUCUUUUCUUUUGAUUUUCAAGUUUUACUUGAAAAUAAACAACAUCAGAGGUACACCGAUCCAAGACAUCAUUUUCUUUCAAAUUGAAGGAAGUGCACGACUAACACUAAUAACACUGGUGGUUGUUUUUGCAGCAUGACCCCGUAGCAAAAAAUCCGUUAAACUUCCUCACACUUCAUUUUGGCCUUGUUUGUAAAGAAACAAAAUCUUUAGGGCGGUAUGCACACAAAUGGUCGGGUCUUAGUUGCAAGAUUUUGUUAAUUUGCGUGGAUGGAAAAGGAGUUUUUUCUUUCUUUCUUUCUUGUUUGAAGGGAGUGACGGAAAAGGAAUUCAUUCGUUGAAAAGAAGAACAUAGUCACGCUGGGCCGACAUAUUAGAAGGGGGACUUACGACGAUUGUGCGAGAGAUAAGGUGCAUCAUGUAGUUCUAGUUCUAGUUAUCCAUCGAUAAUUCCGAAUGCCUUCCAUGCCUAUGCAUAUCCAAUUCGAAUCUCUAAUAUGAGAGUCACAAACAACUAUUGAGCAGAAUGGUACUA
Molecule: long non-coding RNA, 845 nt
Filed under: Hordeum vulgare
Lineage: Eukaryota; Viridiplantae; Streptophyta; Magnoliopsida; Poales; Poaceae
Description: long non-coding RNA (HVUL_LNC021134)
Source: RNAcentral